UCCCUGGUAGUAUAGUGGUUAAGAUUUGGCACUGUCACCACCAUGGCCCAGGUUCAAUCCCUGGUCUGGGAA
RNAcentral lists this transfer RNA (72 nucleotides) under Sus scrofa (pig). It matches the Rfam family "tRNA". Rfam says of the family: Transfer RNA (tRNA) molecules are approximately 80 nucleotides in length. Their secondary structure includes four short double-helical elements and three loops (D, anti-codon, and T loops). Further hydrogen bonds mediate the characteristic L-shaped molecular structure. tRNAs have two regions of fundamental functional importance: the anti-codon, which is responsible for specific mRNA codon recognition, and the 3' end, to which the tRNAs corresponding amino acid is attached (by aminoacyl-tRNA synthetases). tRNAs cope with the degeneracy of the genetic code in two manners: having more than one tRNA (with a specific anti-codon) for a particular amino acid; and 'wobble' base-pairing, i.e. permitting non-standard base-pairing at the 3rd anti-codon position. The record is from Rfam by way of RNAcentral. Lineage: Eukaryota; Metazoa; Chordata; Mammalia; Artiodactyla; Suidae.